This 181-nucleotide small RNA is filed under the name uncultured Paenibacillus sp. RNAcentral's name for it is "ydaO/yuaA leader". It matches the Rfam family "c-di-AMP riboswitch aptamer (ydaO/yuaA leader)", at positions 15 to 123 of the family's 134-position model. Rfam says of the family: This family represents a conserved RNA structure found upstream of the ydaO and yuaA genes in Bacillus subtilis and related genes in other bacteria. The record is from RNAcentral. Lineage: Bacteria; Bacillati; Bacillota; Bacilli; Caryophanales; Paenibacillaceae.
GAAUUAUUCAAACGAAAAACGGGGGAACCAAUGAUAGCAGGGCUGCUUGAAUCGGUGUAAGAGCUGAUUUAGGAACUUUGCUGGGGUGAAUUCUUUGAAGUGGAAUGGCAUUUGCCAUUUGGUGGAUAAGGAAGGGCGGCUCUCACCGUCCGAAUCCGACAGCUAACCUCGUAAGCUAAUA